Molecule: ribosomal RNA, 253 nt
Filed under: uncultured bacterium
Lineage: Bacteria
Description: partial 16S ribosomal RNA
Rfam family: Bacterial small subunit ribosomal RNA
Source: RNAcentral
UACGUAGGGUGCGAGCGUUGUCCGGAAUUACUGGGCGUAAAGAGCUCGUAGGUGGUUUGUCGCGUUGUUCGUGAAAACUCACGGCUUAACUGUGGGCGUGCGGGCGAUACGGGCAGACUGGAGUACUGUAGGGGAGACUGGAAUUCCUGGUGUAGCGGUGGAAUGCGCAGAUAUCAGGAGGAACACCGGUGGCGAAGGCGGGUCUCUGGGCAGUAACUGACGCUGAGGAGCGAAAGCGUGGGGAGCGAACAGG